Escherichia coli str. K-12 substr. MG1655 is the source of this 391-nucleotide non-coding RNA. NCBI's taxonomy places the organism in Bacteria, Pseudomonadati, Pseudomonadota, Gammaproteobacteria, Enterobacterales, Enterobacteriaceae. The record is from Rfam.
UCCAUUUCACUCCAGACCCUAACUUCAGCUCCUGCAAAAUCGCAAGGUAAACGUUUGCCUUUACACACCUUACGCACAACAAAAGUGUUGCGGUACGCCGGAAAAACGACACGGAGCGUCAGGAAGGGGUCAAUGGCCAGUACGCAAAUAGUGUAAGCGUGGAAUUUUGGCCGAUCUUGACGAAAAGGGGAAGUGGUAAAAACACUUAUCAUUAUAAAUGACGGGAGAUUUUUUCAUCACAGUGUGUAAAAAUGCGUAAUAUCACUUUUUGUGUGGUAAUAAAAAAGGAGAAAACUUGAUGAGCACCGACCUUAAAUUUUCACUGGUAACAACGAUUAUCGUCCUCGGUUUGAUCGUAGCCGUGGGUUUGACUGCCGCGCUGCACUGAUUU